ACGAACGCUGGCGGCGUGCUUAACCCAUGCACGUCGAACGCUGAAGACCUGGCUUUUGUUGGGUUGGAUGAGUGGCGAACGGGUGAGUAACACGUGAGUAACCUGCCCUCUUCUUUGGGAUAACGCCCGGAAACGGGUGCUAAUACUGGAUAUUCACUGAUCUUCGCAUGGGGGUUGGUGGAAAGGUUUGUUCUGGUGGGGGAUGGGCUCGCGGCCUAUCAGCUUGUUGGUGGGGUGAUGGCCUACCAAGGCUUUGACGGGUAGCCGGCCUGAGAGGGUGACCGGUCACAUUGGGACUGAGAUACGGCCCAGACUCCUACGGGAGGCAGCAGUGGGGAAUAUUGCACAAUGGGCGAAAGCCUGAUGCAGCGACGCCGCGUGAGGGAUGGAGGCCUUCGGGUUGUAAACCUCUUUCGCUCAUGGUCAAGCCGCAACUGUGGGUUGUGGUGAGGGUAGUGGGUAAAGAAGCGCCGGCUAACUACGUG
Molecule: ribosomal RNA, 485 nt
Filed under: uncultured bacterium
Lineage: Bacteria
Description: partial 16S ribosomal RNA
Rfam family: Bacterial small subunit ribosomal RNA
Source: RNAcentral